This 960-nucleotide long non-coding RNA is filed under the name Salmo trutta (river trout). RNAcentral's name for it is "lncRNA (ENSSTUG00000043552.1)". Lineage: Eukaryota; Metazoa; Chordata; Actinopteri; Salmoniformes; Salmonidae. The record is from RNAcentral.
CCACACUUUUAUGCAUAAGUGCACGGUAAUAUUGACUACUGUAGAAAUUGUCCAUUCAGUGCUCGGUUAUAAAUAUUCACUAGAGCGCAACCGGCAGAUGGGGCGAAUGUGUCUGGUAUCUCUCUCCAUCAUCUGAAGUUUCCACACCUUUAAAAUUACCCUUUUAAUUCACAUUCUUCGCGGUCUCUGUUUGAUUAUCCUAUCCUGCUCGAUUUUCACAUCAGCUAUAAAUCAAUUGACACAUGAUGAGAUGAGGGAUCUGCACACAACUGUGAAUGGAGCGUUAACGGGAGAAGUCGGCACGCGCUUCUUGUUCACACACACCCAACGCUUGGACAAAGUGUGUGUGAUUGCUAUGUGUGUUCUGAAUGUGUGCAUAUCAAGGCUAUGGGUACUCUGAGGGACCUGCAGUUUGCGCUGCAGCUGAAGAUCGAGGAGCUCCGUCAGAGAGACACUCUGAUAGAUGAGCUGGAGUUGGAGCUGGACACUAAAGAUGACCUCAUCAGACAGCUGCACCGCAAAGCUCCACAACACCCAGGGACCACUGGGAGCACUGAGAGCACAGUGCCUGAUGAGCCGCAGCGAACUAAGAGACAGGCAAUAUCAGCAGAACCCAGUGCCCUGGGCCCUGCCGAACUCACACACGUCACACUCACCAACUACAGCAAGAGCGAGGUGUAAGUACACAAACACAUGCAUACACAUUCACACACACAUACAUUCUCUCUCUCUCUCUCUCUCUCUCUCUCUCUCUCACACACACACACACAAACACUUUCUCCAUGUACAGGUCUAGAGAGCUGAUCCAGAGGGCUCUGCUGGAGAAUGACUUAAUGAAACACCUGGAGCAGGGACAGGUACUAUGACUAUAUAGUAUUAGUGUAAUACUGCUGUAGUAUUACUCUCAAUGUCUUUGAUGGAUAUCCAUUUAUAUACACUGCUCAAAAAAAUAAAGGGAAC